Molecule: transfer RNA, 78 nt
Filed under: Actinomycetota bacterium
Lineage: Bacteria; Bacillati; Actinomycetota
Description: tRNA-Ser
Source: RNAcentral
GCCCGUGCAAUGCCCAGCAACCAAUGACCGCGCACUCGUAAUGAGGGUAGGUCAGCGGUUCGAGUCCGCUCGUCGGCU